UCCGACCUCCAGGUGACAAAGCAAGACAGGGCACAGGGGACAUACCGGAGGGCCGGCCCACACUUGGUCACUUUACUUUAAGAUCUGCACGAAGAGAGACGCGGCAUAGAUAUAGAGAAGAGCAAUGAGGACGCAGCACCGCCUGCAGCAGCAGCUGCAGGGCCUUGCUGUUCUCGUGGUGGAAGUCGACCAGGCUGUAGUAGGCCCACUGGGCCACGGAGACCAGGGCCAGGCCGGCCUCCCCGCGCAGGUGCCGCAGCAGCCGCAGGAGGCAGCGGCGGGCUCCGCGGAGCAGGGCGGCGAGCAGCUGGAGGCUCCAGGCCCGCGCCGUGGUCAGCGGCUGCCACAGGGCCCGCUGGAGCCGGGCCGGGGGCCCUCAUGUCCGGAACGCUCUGCGCCCAGGCUCCCGUCCCGGGGGCAUAGGGCGGUAUUCAUGCCACAAGCCCAUAGCAACUGGCCCUCUGCGCCCAGUGCCCUGCCAUCUGGGCCAGGUGCUUUUGCAACAAUCGCUGACAGCACAAACGAUGAGGCUGUGAGGCUUUGUUGCUUAAGGGGGCAGGCUGGGCUUGGACAGGGUGCCAGGAGCUCCCGCGGCACCCCGCAAUUCAGCAGGAAGUGGUCUCCCCACCCCCGAGCCCCGUGGGAUCCCGCCCUGCGCCCGGGCUCCCCGUCUUUCAACACAACCUCAAGUUCAGGGCACCUGAAGGAAGUGACAAGGCCUCCACUGAUUUCUGCGUAUUCCCUGUCUGAAGAAAGAACAGGUGCACGUAAAUGGACCCUCAAGCAUUGGAGGAUGUCAGAAAUGGAAUUUUCAAAUCAGACAGUCAUUUUAGUCUUCCUAAUAAAGCUGAUUUCCUUUAAAAAAUAA
This 868-nucleotide long non-coding RNA is filed under the name Oryctolagus cuniculus (rabbit). RNAcentral's name for it is "lncRNA (ENSOCUG00000039015.1)". The record is from RNAcentral. Lineage: Eukaryota; Metazoa; Chordata; Mammalia; Lagomorpha; Leporidae.